UCUGCUUCUCCCAACGCUGGGAAAAAAGGCGGGAGAAGCCCCGGCAGGAUUGAAGCUGCUCCU
This 63-nucleotide microRNA precursor is filed under the name Chlorocebus sabaeus (green monkey). RNAcentral describes it as "miRNA (ENSCSAG00000026730.1)". Lineage: Eukaryota; Metazoa; Chordata; Mammalia; Primates; Cercopithecidae. The record is from RNAcentral.